UACGGGGGUGAGCGAGCGUUGUCCGGAAUCACUGGGCGUAAAGGGCGCGUAGGUGGUUUGAUAAGGGUGUGGUGAAAGUCCGGGGCUCAACCCCGGAUCUGCCGUGCCGACUGUCAAACUCGAGGACUGUAGAGGCAGACGGAAUUCCGGGUGUAGCGGUGGAAUGCGUAGAGAUCCGGAGGAAGACCGGUGGCGAAGGCGAGUCCCUGGACAUCUCCUGACACUGAGGCACGAAAGCUAGGGGAGCAAACAGG
RNAcentral lists this ribosomal RNA (254 nucleotides) under uncultured bacterium. RNAcentral's name for it is "partial 16S ribosomal RNA". It matches the Rfam family "Bacterial small subunit ribosomal RNA", at positions 524 to 776 of the family's 1533-position model. The record is from RNAcentral.